CCUACGGGAGGCAGCAGUGAGGAAUAGUGGUCAAUGGGCGCGAGCCUGAACCAGCCAAGUAGCGUGAGGGAAGACGGUCCUAUGGAUUGUAAACAUCUUUUGUCGGGGAGCAAAAGACGCCACGCGUGGCGUUCCGAGAGUACCUGAAGAAAAAGCAUCGGCUAACUCCGUGCCAGCAGCCGCGGUAAUACGGAGGAUGCGAGCGUUAUCCGGAUUUAUUGGGUUAAAGGGGGGCGUAGGCGGAAGGUUAAGACAGCGGUAAAAUUUCGGUGCUCAACACCGGCCUGCCGUUGAAACUGGUCUUCUUGAGUGAGCGAGAGGUAUGCGGAAUGCGUGGUGUAGCGGUGAAAUGCAUAGAUAUCACGCAGAACUCCGAUUGCGAAGGCAGCAUACCGGCGCUCAACUGACGCUGAGGCACGAAAGCGUGGGGAUCGAACAGGAUUAGAUACCCUUGUAGUC
Molecule: ribosomal RNA, 459 nt
Filed under: uncultured bacterium
Lineage: Bacteria
Description: partial 16S ribosomal RNA
Rfam family: Bacterial small subunit ribosomal RNA
Source: RNAcentral